This is a non-coding RNA of Podarcis lilfordi (Lilford's wall lizard), 74 nucleotides long. NCBI's taxonomy places the organism in Eukaryota, Metazoa, Chordata, Lepidosauria, Squamata, Lacertidae. The record is from the annotation of a GenBank genome assembly.
GGCUGGAUAGCUUGGUUGGUUAGCGCAUGGUGCUGAUGAUGCCAAGGUUGCAGGUUCAAUCCCUGCAUCGGACA